Molecule: ribosomal RNA, 1151 nt
Filed under: Speleonychia sengeri
Lineage: Eukaryota; Metazoa; Arthropoda; Arachnida; Opiliones; Cladonychiidae
Description: eukaryotic LSU rRNA
Rfam family: Eukaryotic large subunit ribosomal RNA
Source: RNAcentral
GAGAUUCCCCUAGUAACGGCGAGCGAACGGGGAAGAGCCCAUCGCCCAAUCCGACGCCUCCCUGGGCGUUNNGGAAAUUUGGCGUAUAGGAGAGACGCUUCCGGGCACCGACUCCGGUGCAAGUCCCCCUGACUGGGGCACCUACCCCGAGAGGGUGCAAGGCCCGUAGCGGCCGGAAGCCGGUCCCGGAUGUCCUCUCCUGGGAGUCGGGUUGCUUGAGAGUGCAGCCCCAAUCGGGUGGUAAACUCCAUCUAAGGCUAAAUACGACCUCGAGACCGAUAGCGAACAAGUACCGUGAGGGAAAGUUGAAAAGGACUUUGAAGAGAGAGUUCAAGAGUACGUGAAACCGUUCGGAGGUAAACGAGUGGGCCCUCGAAGGAAGACGGCGGGGGGACUCAGCCGAGGGCGCCCGGGUGGCUCCCGCGACUCGCUUCCCCAACAGGACGAGUCCGGGCGGCAGGCAAGUCCCGGGGCAGGCGGCGCAUUUCCCCUCGUCCUCUGACGCUGCGACCGGUCGGGUGCGCCACGAGCAGUCGGCCUUACUCGCGGGGACCGGCAGGUAGCCGGGGCGACGCUUCGGCGGCGUCCCGGUGUCUAGCCGCCCCGCAAUCGCGGCCGUUCACCCGACCGCAGGACACGGCCCCCAGGGGCCCCGCCGCGUCUUCCCUGGGUGGGAGCGCACCUUUCCGCCGGAAGGGAUGUCGCCGUGUAACGCCGGUCUCACCGAAGGUGUCCGGAGUGCGGCGGCGCCCGCUGGCCGGCGGAUUAGCGUGCCGACGCAGGCGGUCGGCAGCGAGUAGGUCGGUCACCCACUCGACCCGUCUUGAAACACGGACCAAGGAGUUUAACAUGCGCGCGAGUCAUUGGGUCUUGUUCAGGCCCAAAGGCGCAAUGAAAGUGAAGGUCGGCUUUCGCCGUCCGCGUUGGGAUCCGGGGGGCCCCCCAAAAGGACCUCCGGCGCACCAACGGCUCGUCCAGGCCGCCGCGUCGGCCGGGCGAAGCGAGAGCGUGCACGUUGAGACCCGAAAGAUGGUGAACUAUGGCUGGGCAGGACGAAGCCAGAGGAAACUCUGGUGGAGGUCCGCAGCGGUUCUGACGUGCAAAUCGAUCGUCAGACCUGGCUAUAGGGGCGAAAGACUAAUCGAACCAUC